UCUUGUCCUACCCUCAGAUGCUUUGGAGAAUAGCUUGACUUCCUCUUCUUUGUGGCAGCCCGAGAUAUUGGAACACUGCUAUCAUAUCACCCCUAGUCCAGUGGUGAGCUUCAAAUUUUUUAACAACCAGUUCUCUGCCCUAAUGACUGGCUGGAUGGGCAUGGCUGGAUGGGCAUGUGACUGGGUGUGUGUGGCCAACUCAACGGCACUUCUUUGCCUAAAAAAAGAUAGGUGGAAUGCUGUUUCUCUGCCGCAGCGCUUUCCGGAUGGGACUUACAGGACCCAAAGUGGCGGCUCACAGCUGCUAAAUUUCACUGUGCUGCACAAGACAUUCUCCCAGCAAGAGCAGCAGUGAAAAGAAACAGCUGCCGACCCAGAGAGCACAUGGAGUGUCUCUGCAAGCAACUGAGGCUUGCCCAAAACCAGGGGCCGGAAGGAGGGGCUGCAAGAUCCGAGAGAUGCUGGAGAUUCAACCCGGCUGCUUCUCUCCACUGCAUUGCUUUCCGGAUGGGACUUCUUACAGGCAGCCGUGAUGAGCAGAGCAUGGAGAUCAGCAUGGCUGGUGUGGUAAGCUGCAGCGAAGGCAGCAAGCAGGCGAGGUGCAGAGAUCAGCUGGGCCGCGUGGUCUGGGCAAGCGAGCCAGAGAGUAGCUGGGUGCGGACAUGACUCUAGCCACCAGCCAAGGCAGGCGAGGUGAGAUAAGAAACUUAAUAUGUAGUACUUUGAUGGCAACUGAGCUGAUCAUUGCCAAUGGCUGGAAUCUGCCCAGCUCCUACUGGCUAUUAGGCCACUCCCCUCCAGCUGUCUUCAGUGGAUUAUGGCUAUCUCCCAGGUUCUCCUUGUGAUUCACCAAUUUAAAUCAGUGUUGCUCUUCAUGUGAUCUCUGAAGUGAUGCUUUCCCUUCCUUGCAUGACAAGCAUGUUGGCAGGUUGUGCCAGGUUUUCCCCUCCCAAAUCUGUGUACAAGGAGACUGGGAGAGCGCAACAGAGUCUACAACUACAGAUCCCCCAUGCAGCGUGGUGAAAUGAUUGCUCAGCAGGAAGAUGUCAUGUCUGCCAACCCCCUAUGUGAGCAGCCGAUAUGCCUGCAAAAUGGACAGAGCAAGAAAGAUUGCAAGCAAAGAACCAGGACGGGUAAAGACCAUUCCAAAAGAAAAGCCAAACAACAUAAAAGUCUGAGACGAUUUCAACAGUGAAAGUAAAAAAUGCAUCCAGCAGAACUGCUCAGACUAAAAGCGUCAAUAUGGCAGAGAACUGAGAGCUGUAAAUGUUUAAGGACUCAAAAUAGAGACAAAUACUGCCCAGAGUCACUUCUCAGAAUGAGAUGGGUAGCAUAUAAAUUCAAUAAAUAAAUAAACCACUCUGUCAAAACUCUAUGCGUGGUUGGACCAAGCCCCAGCCCAUGUUAUGGGGAGCAGUUGGUCAAAUGUUUUCUUGAUGGCAAGGAAAUCACUCAAUUGUUGGACCAUAACCUGUCUUAUAUCAUUAUCAAUCACUGGUCUUAUUACUGAAGAAAUGUAGAGACUGGCAAAUUGACCAGUAUAUACUUGGGCCAUCUCAUAGCUUGGAGGAAAGCCCAUUAAACCAUUGUCUGCAUAUGCCUAUUAUAUAUUAAUCCACAGACCACAAUGCAAUUGAAUGCAAUAAUUUUCUAUUGCAGUUAAAUAAAUUUCAUACAAACGCUUCACAGUUUA
Molecule: non-coding RNA, 1693 nt
Organism: Pantherophis guttatus
Lineage: Eukaryota; Metazoa; Chordata; Lepidosauria; Squamata; Colubridae
Source: RefSeq, a predicted model, not a curated record